This 253-nucleotide ribosomal RNA is filed under the name uncultured bacterium. RNAcentral's name for it is "partial 16S ribosomal RNA". It matches the Rfam family "Archaeal small subunit ribosomal RNA", at positions 474 to 727 of the family's 1478-position model. The record is from RNAcentral.
UACCAGCACCCCGAGUGGUCGGGACGAUUAUUGGGCCUAAAGCAUCCGUAGCCGGUUCUGCAAGUCCCCCGUUAAAUCCAGCUGCUCAACAGAUGGGCCGCGGAGGAUACUACAGAGCUAGGAGGCAGGAGAGGCAAGCGGUACUCAGUGGGUAGGGGUAAAAUCCGUUGAUCCAUUGAAGACCACCAGUGGCGAAGGCGGCUUGCCAGAAUGCGCUCGACGGUGAGGGAUGAAAGCUAGGGGAGCAAACGGG